Molecule: ribosomal RNA, 497 nt
Filed under: uncultured bacterium
Lineage: Bacteria
Description: partial 16S ribosomal RNA
Rfam family: Bacterial small subunit ribosomal RNA
Source: RNAcentral
GAUGAACGCUGGCGGCGUGCCUAAUACAUGCAAGUCGAGCGAACGGACGAGAAGCUUGCUUCUCUGAUGUUAGCGGCGGACGGGUGAGUAACACGUGGAUAACCUACCUAUAAGACUGGGAUAACUUCGGGAAACCGGAGCUAAUACCGGAUAAUAUUUUGAACCGCAUGGUUCAAAAGUGAAAGACGGUCUUGCUGUCACUUAUAGAUGGAUCCGCGCUGCAUUAGAUAGUUGGUAAGGUAACGGCUUACCAAGGCAACGAUGCAUAGCCGACCGGAGAGGGUGAUCGGCCACACUGGAGCUGAGCCACGGUCCAGACUCCUAAGGGAGGCAGCAGUAGGGAAUCUUCCGCAAUAGGCGAGAGCCUGACGGAGCAACGCCGCGUGAGUGAUGAAGGUCUUCGGAUCGUAAAACUCUGUUAUUAGGGAAGAACAUAUGUGUAAGUAACUGUGCACAGCUUGACGGUACCUAAUCAGAAAGCCACGGCUAACUACGUG